GGUGGGGUAACGGCUCACCAAGGCGACGAUCCCUAGCUGGUCUGAGAGGAUGACCAGCCACACUGGAACUGAGACACGGUCCAGACUCCUACGGGAGGCAGCAGUGGGGAAUAUUGCACAAUGGGCGCAAGCCUGAUGCAGCCAUGCCGCGUGUAUGAAGAAGGCCUUCGGGUUGUAAAGUACUUUCAGCGGGGAGGAAGGGAGUAAAGUUAAUACCUUUGCUCAUUGACGUUACCCGCAGAAGAAGCACCGGCUAACUCCGUGCCAGCAGCCGCGGUAAUACGGAGGGUGCAAGCGUUAAUCGGAAUUACUGGGCGUAAAGCGCACGCAGGCGGUUUGUUAAGUCAGAUGUGAAAUCCCCGGGCUCAACCUGGGAACUGCAUCUGAUACUGGCAAGCUUGAGUCUCGUAGAGGGGGGUAGAAUUCCAGGUGUAGCGGUGAAAUGCGUAGAGAUCUGGAGGAAUACCGGUGGCGAAGGCGGCCCCCUGGACGAAGACUGAC
RNAcentral lists this ribosomal RNA (501 nucleotides) under Escherichia sp. RNAcentral describes it as "bacterial SSU rRNA". It matches the Rfam family "Bacterial small subunit ribosomal RNA", at positions 251 to 744 of the family's 1533-position model. The record is from RNAcentral. Lineage: Bacteria; Pseudomonadati; Pseudomonadota; Gammaproteobacteria; Enterobacterales; Enterobacteriaceae.